CAGCUAGACGGUGAGGUAAUGGCUCACCGUGGCGAUGACGGGUAGCCGGCCUGAGAGGGUGACCGGCCACACUGGGACUGAGACACGGCCCAGACUCCUACGGGAGGCAGCAGUGGGGAAUAUUGCACAAUGGGCGCAAGCCUGAUGCAGCGACGCCGCGUGCGGGAUGACGGCCUUCGGGUUGUAAACCGCUUUCAGCAGGGAAGAAGCCUUUCGGGGUGACGGUACCUGCAGAAGAAGCGCCGGCUAACUACGUGCCAGCAGCCGCGGUAAUACGUAGGGCGCGAGCGUUAUCCGGAAUUAUUGGGCGUAAAGAGCUCGUAGGCGGUUUGCCGCGUCUGCUGUGAAAGCCCGGGGCUUAACCCCGGGUGUGCAGUGGGUACGGGCAGACUAGAGUGCAGUAGGGGAGACUGGAAUUCCUGGUGUAGCGGUGAAAUGCGCAGAUAUCAGGAGGAACACCGAUGGCGAAGGCAGGUCUCUGGGCUGUUACUGACGCUGAGGAGCGAAAGCAUGGGGAGCGAACAGGAUUAGAUACCCUGGUAGUCCAUGCCGU
Molecule: ribosomal RNA, 553 nt
Filed under: Nesterenkonia sp.
Lineage: Bacteria; Bacillati; Actinomycetota; Actinomycetes; Micrococcales; Micrococcaceae
Description: bacterial SSU rRNA
Rfam family: Bacterial small subunit ribosomal RNA
Source: RNAcentral